This 253-nucleotide ribosomal RNA is filed under the name uncultured bacterium. RNAcentral describes it as "partial 16S ribosomal RNA". It matches the Rfam family "Bacterial small subunit ribosomal RNA", at positions 524 to 776 of the family's 1533-position model. The record is from RNAcentral.
UACAGAGGUGGCAAGCGUUGUUCGGAAUUACUGGGCGUAAAGCGCACGUAGGCGGCUUUGUAAGUUAGAGGUGAAAGCCCGGAGCUCAACUCCGGAAUUGCCUUUAAGACUGCAUCGCUUGAACGUCGGAGAGGUAUGUGGAAUUCCGAGUGUAGAGGUGAAAUUCGUAGAUAUUCGGAAGAACACCAAUGGCGAAGGCGACAUACUGGACGACUGUUGACGCUGAGGUGCGAAAGCGUGGGGAGCAAACAGG